ACUACGGGAGGCAGCAGUGAGGAAUAUUGGUCAAUGGGCGCGAGCCUGAACCAGCCAAGUCGCGUGAGGGAAGACGGUCCUAUGGAUUGUAAACCUCUUUUGUCGGGGAGCAAAAGACGCCACGCGUGGCGUUCCGAGAGUACCCGAAGAAAAAACAUCGGCUAACUCCGUGCCAGCAGCCGCGGUAAUACGGGGGAUGCGAUCGUUAUCCGGUUUUAUUGGUUUUAAAGGGUGCGCAGGCGGAAGACAAAGUCAGCGGUAAAAUUGAGAGGCUCAACCUCUUCGAGCCGUUGAAACUGGUUUUCGUGAGUGAGUGAGAAGUAUGCGGAAUGCGUGGUGUAGCGGUGAAAUGCAGAGAUAUCACGCAGAACUCCGAUUGUGAAGGCAGCAUACCGGCGCUCAACUGACGCUCAUGCACGAAAGUGUGGGUAUCGAACAGGAUUAGAUACCCUUGUAGGC
RNAcentral lists this ribosomal RNA (459 nucleotides) under uncultured bacterium. RNAcentral describes it as "partial 16S ribosomal RNA". It matches the Rfam family "Bacterial small subunit ribosomal RNA", at positions 338 to 795 of the family's 1533-position model. The record is from RNAcentral.